RNAcentral lists this ribosomal RNA (253 nucleotides) under uncultured bacterium. Its description in RNAcentral is "partial 16S ribosomal RNA". It matches the Rfam family "Bacterial small subunit ribosomal RNA", at positions 524 to 776 of the family's 1533-position model. The record is from RNAcentral.
UACGGAGGGUGCAAACGUUGCUCGGAAUCAUUGGGCGUAAAGCGCACGUAGGCGGCCCAGCAAGUCAGAUGUGAAAGCCCUCGGCUUAACCAAGGAAGUGCAUUUGAAACUGCUAGGCUUGAAUACUGGAGAGGGUCGCAGAAUUCUCGGUGUAGAGGUGAAAUUCGUAGAUAUCGGGAGGAAUACCAGUGGCGAAGGCGGCGACCUGGUCAGAUAUUGACGCUGAGGUGCGAAAGCGUGGGGAGCAAACAGG